Osmerus eperlanus (European smelt) is the source of this 6643-nucleotide long non-coding RNA. RefSeq lists it as uncharacterized. The record is from RefSeq and is a predicted model, not a curated record. NCBI's taxonomy places the organism in Eukaryota, Metazoa, Chordata, Actinopteri, Osmeriformes, Osmeridae. The transcript is spliced from 2 exons.
CCCCAGCCCACCCCCCUUCACCUCCACCCCUCAGCCCAGGCCCCUUCACCUCCACCCCCCAGCCCACCCCCCUUCACCUCCACCCCCCAGCCCAGGGACUCUACUCUCCUCUAAACCAACCCAACCCUCCCCCCCACACCCACUCCCUCAUUCAGUGGGUCCCGACCCCACCCACACAACACUGGCAACUGGCGUGCGUGCGAGUUGUGUAGGGGCUGGUGACGGAGGCCGGACCACUCCUAAGGACUACUUGUGUGUGGGAGCGAAACAGAGACUGCCCUCUUCACCCUCAGUACUCCUAAGCAUAUCUCCAACCCCCCCGACCCCGCCUCUCAAUUCAAACACUGUCUAGAACCCAACUCUAUCUUUGGGCCAACAGUCACACGGAGCUAAGCUGCUGCAGGUAUACAUGUGAGCGUCAGCUUAUCUCUGGUUUAGUGUGUGUGUGUGUGUGUGUUUAGUUUAUACUGUACAACGUGCGUGCGUGUUUUGUAUAGUAUAUCCCCUCUGUACUCUCUACUUGUACCCCAUUGUGCCUAUAAAUAGCCAUUGCACUGUUGGUAGCAUACUCUUACCUGAUAGGCUGAGCUCGCUGCUGUGGAUUGGCCGAGCUGUCCAGAGCGCAUCUGAGGACAGGAAGUGCUUACACAGGAGUGGGAGGGGCUAGGUUCUCUGCUCCACAGUCUCAUUGGUGCUUACCACAGAUAGCUACGGUCACUCCUGCUGCUGUUGCCAUGGGUUCCGCCUCUUAGCAACCCUGGAGUCACGUGUGUUCGGGGGAAGAGCCAGCUGUUCUCUGGUGCCUCUGUCUAUCAGACAGGCUGUGGGAGUCAUUGUAGCAAAGGCCACGGAGCUUUCGUCACUGAAUUAGACAACAAGAAAAGAAAAGAAAGAUGGCGGAGGGAAGUACGAUGCACCUUUAUUCUAAUGACCGACCAAAGAUGAAUUGAACUGCUGUCAAAGUCCCUGGAUCUGAUCUUACCCACAAUCCUCUCUGUCGUCCUCUCAUACCGCCAGUGAACCCAAACGUCUCUUUGAACAAUAAGCGGACGAGGAAGUGUGAAUUCAAUCAAUCUUUUAUUUUAUUUUGUAAUGUUCCCCCUCACGUCCGUCACCAGAUGACUGGAGUUUCCCAUGACGUGUGAAUAGAAUGUUACGAAUCUGACCGUCACUGAAUCACUGCUUUCUGUUAACGGAGAAGCUGAUUGGGUAAGAGCUGGGAUCACUAAGUGACUGAAAGCUCUCAUUGGUCAGCCUUUAGCUCCGCAGCCUAUUGAUGUGUGUGUCUGUGUGUGUGUGUGUGUCCAGUGGAAGUGUCCUCCAUGCCUUCUCCAUGCCUCCUGAUUUGUCUGUUGCGUAGCAACCCAGCAUACCCUCCCAGAACCAACUAGUCAGCCUCAAAGACUCAAAGCUAAAAAAAAAAAAAAAAAACACGAUCUUAAAAGUGUGUUUUCUUGUUCCGUUUUGUACAUCAAGGCCAGCUUCCCAGUUGGAACACUGCCUUUUUUUCCCGAUUGUCCGAUCCCAAAGGGGUCACACCACGCUGUAGCCUAUCAGUGGUCUUUCUUGAGCGUCAUGGAAACGCUACAUUGCACUGUGCUGGAUUGGAGCGAGCAUGUUGGCGUGUCCCGAGGAGAAGGAAAGAAGACGCUGCACCUUAUCGAUGAUUGUUUACUUAUUAUUGAUUACUUAUGGAAAUGUGAUCGAGAGCUUUGUUCGUGAGCUUAGAUCUGUGAAGCCUUUGGGUUUGGAGGGUUCCCGUACAGCGCUAAAUCAACCGUGCCGGGGUGAAGCCGAAUCCUGAAGCGAAGUAUAGCUACUUACUAAAUAAAUCAAUUAUUUGAAACAAAAUACUGAUAAAAAAAAAAAAAUUGUUUCAUGGAUUUCUAAAAUUAUUUUAUUGCUUCUGCAAAAAGGGGUUGUUAUAUUCAGAAGUGCGUCCAUAGCAGCGGUCUGUUAUUCAUGAACACAUAAUAAUGUAUUCAUAAAUAACAGACCGUACAAUGCUGUAAUUGUAUUCAACAAAGUUGUGAAAUAAAGGGUUUUUGAUGUCAUAGAGAAUAGAUAUGUGUGGUUAGUUCCCUGGGUCUGGAAACAGACAACAUGUUGUGUAUGAACCCUGCUUCUAAUAUGUACACUGUCAGAAACAAAGUUCUUUAAAGGGGUUCUCUUAUUGUUUACAGUCAGGAGAACCUUCUGGGGAACUCUAUAGGAACCUUUUGCUGUGGGAUUUCAGCUAGAACCCUGUAUUGGUGAAAUGGCACCACCUGUAACUUGUGUUUUGUGUGAUGAAAUAGUUCUGUGUGGAACCAAUUUGUUUAGUUUUAUAUUUGUUGAGGGUUGGGGGGGGGGGGUCUGCUUCCGGGAGCAGUCUGCUGAAGCUCGUCCCAACAGGAAGGUGUCAUGCUCUGACUAGCAGGCCUGGAUCCAAAAGAUACUCGCAAUUCUUCAAAAUGACCUAUCUGUGCUUGAUUGUUCUUGCCUGGCACAGUAGAACACCGAGAACUGUCUGAUGUGCUCAUAAAGCACAAAGGCACGAGAACACAGAGCCAUUUCCUUGAUGUUGUGCAACCUAACUAUGACCACGGCCUAGACUUGACUGGUCCACCAGGAACAGCAACCUCUCUCUGGUCCUUGCUCGGUCCACAGGUCCAACAAACUUCUAAAAGAUGAGAGAGGAGAUUUAAUAAUGCACAAAUGACCAAAUCUGAUCGGCCAGUCAGGGCGGUCCAGGCCUUUGAAGUUUGUAAGCCAUGUGCGUGUGGCAGAUUGCCAUGGCGAUGUUAAGCAAUACCAUUCUGUUGUUUUUCUUAUUUGCUAUGUGAACCAACAUUGAAGAAAUUCCAGGCUGCGUUCCAGUGGCAGUGUUCUUAAAAAACAAUGUUCGUCGCUAUGGAAACUCCAUGUUUGGCUUUACCGGUGGUUGAAACUGAGCAGUUGAACCCUUUUGUACGGUUCUUUUCUCCCUUGUCAGCUGUUGAUCUAACAGUGAACAAGGUCAAAUCAUAUUCCGUUGUGUCCCGCUGAAACCAAACCUGGGUCCAUCCAUUCAUCCAUGUGUGACCUCCUGUCUGCUUCCUGUUCCGGGGGACGGGGGGACGGUUCAUGUUUGUAGGAACAGUUUGUCGUGUUUCUGACAAAGUGUUGCAGCUGUAGUGAAAGCAACACUAAGCUCUAUAAGCAAAACCACAAAGACAGAUGGCCCGGAGGAUUCCAGAGAAGGAAUCCAGUCAGAUGAGCUAGCAGGCAGGCUCACCUCCACUCUCCGAUGAGCUAGCAGGCAGGCUUACCUCCACUCUCCGAUGAGCUAGCAGGCAGGCUUACCUCCACUCUCCAAUGAGCUAGCAGGCAGGCUCACCUCCACUCUCCGAUGAGCUAGCAGGCAGGCUUACCUCCACUCUCUCCGAUGAGCUAGCAGGCAGGCUUACCUCCACUCUCAGAUGCACGUCACACCAAACCAAACACUGUUGGUGCUUGUUGGUGUUUGUUUGGGCAGUGUGAACUGGUCUUUAGAGAUGUGAUUCUCUACUGUUCUGUGGGUGAACGACAGCAGCCGGAACAAGGAGGGAAGGGCGCAGGACAGGAUACCAGGCAAGGUCUGUGGUUCGAGUAAAAACAGGGCCUAGGAAUCUUAUUCCUUAUUCCUUAUCUAUGAAUCUCAUCCCUACAACCCCUGCUAAAAGGACUGUGUGCUGUAUGUAUUUAUGUAGGCUACAUGUGUUGGGCCAUAGACAGGAUCUAUGGCUCUCCUCUACAGAUCCCUCUUUCUUCCUAUAACUGUCACAAGAUCCCUCGCUGGCAAAACCCCUAAACCUUCACGUGCUCUAGAAGAAGAGGGGGGGUCAGAUGGCUGAGCGGUUAGGGAGUCGGGCUAUUAAUCAGAAGGUUGUUGGUUCGAUUCUCGGCCGUGCAAAAUGACGUGUCCUUGGGCAAGGCACUUCAACCUACUUGCCUCGGGGAGAAUGUCCCUGUACUUACUGUAAGUCGCUCUGGAUAAGAGCGUCUGCUAAAUGACUAAAUGUAAAUGUAACAACAGGAACAGAUUUAUUUUCUCCAACGUUCAUCCUAUUUUCCGUUAAUGUGCACAAACGUUGAGGGUCAUUGAAGUUUAGGUUUUUCGUGGGCUUUAAAGGGAUAUUUCACUCUUUUUUGGGGGAGGGGGGGUUGGGUCCAUGCGUAGCGGAGGUUUCACCUUCCCUCGUCCCUUGUAGACGUGUUUCUGGUUGCAACUGUUCGCGCCCUGCGUUGUGACAGAGAAGUCAACCCUCAGAGCUGGACGAUAUUGAGUGAAAGUUUGUUUCCAUUCAGUUAGAGGGGUUCUGCCCACCAACCGAUAAGAGAGUGCAUCACACUGACUCAUCUACAAGUUCGACCACUGUGAGGGUACAAACGCGUCUGGUUUUGGGUGGAUUGUUCCUUUAAUUGUGCAAGACUAUCGCCUGGGAGGGGCCGUUCUUGGCAAGGCAAUCUAUGCUCGGCUUGCAUUCCUGCCUCUACUCUUCCUGGAACUGCCCUGUUUACGUGUACCUGGAACAGAGAGGCAGGCCUCGCUAGCCGAUCCAGAGAACACAGGCAGAUCAGGCCUAGCUAGCCGAUCCAGAGAACACAGGCAGAUCAGGCCUCGCUAGCCGAUCCAGAGAACACAGGCAGAUCAGGCCUCGCUAGCCGAUCCAGAGCACCCAUACAAGCAGAUCGGCACUCACAGGGUCAUAUUGUUGACACUAGAUCCUAAACUGACCUUCUUCUACCUACCGGUGAAUACAGACUAUGCUGGUCCUAGAUCUGAAAUAAGAUGUGUUUGUGUGUUUGCGAGGGCAGUUGAAGGAAACCAAUCGUUCACAAAAUCCUUUUCUCAGAUGGCACUGAAUAGUGUGAUUUUACACCCUUUAUUUCCUGACUAGCAAUGAAAAUAGCAAAGCUAGCUGGUCUCACUGACUCGUUUUUCCCUAGAAAUGGUCACUGCCUUUUUCAAACACAAAGAAUGUUCACAAAGAAAGUUCCAGAAUGCCACAGAGAACUUGGUACAAGGGCUCAAUUCUGUACGACUGUUUGAACUAGACUAAAGCACUGUAAUACUUACCGUGAAACAUCCGAUGCCAUAUUUAUACUCUGUGAGGGUUGACACCCAGGAACAGUAUUCUCAUUUUGUUAUAGAACAUUUUGGGGGGCAUUUUGAGAUUUUGUGUUGAAAAUAUAAGUCAAACACACAAUCUGUUCAGCCACAUUCAAAUCCAAUCAAGUGCACCUAACUCAUUUUCAGAUUAAGUCAAACGCACCUUGUGGGUUUUGCAACCAAGAUCUGGAUCAGGUCUAACCUCUUCUACAUUCCUCCCUGUGGAAGGAUCAUCUGAAAAAAACGAACAUUUUCAGAACCAUUUCCUGUCUUCUGAUAGACCUGACAGAACCUGUGAUUGGUUGUUGUUGAAGUCAGAACCUGUGAUUGGUUGUUGUUGAAGACAGAACCUGUGAUUGGUCGUUGUUGAAGACAGAACCUGUGAUUGGUCGUUAUUGAACGGUUUAACCGGGACUACAAAAACGGUUCCACCGUGGCUCUUACGGUGUGUAGGCCCUAACUGACGUGGCACGGUGCCAGCUCUCAUUCUGAAGGUGCCCCGUGAUGGGGGUGGGGGGGGGGGGGGUAAGAGGACGCCGGUGGGACGAUGCUGACCCCGGUCUGGCCUCCCUGCUCUGCCUCCUACCACAUUGUCCUCCUCCACACACAGCAAGGGGCUCUCGUGUUUCAAAGAUAAGAGGGCCGCCCAGGCAGUCAUAAGCAAGGACACUUGGGGCCCCCCCUGAGUGCCCUGGUUAUCCAACCCUCACACACUGACACACACUGACACACACACACACUGACACACACACACUGACACACACUGACACACACACACUGACACACACUGACACACACACACUGACACACACUGACACACACACACUGACAUUCCCGUGUGUGAGUUAUAAUGGCCUGAUCUGACGAAGAGCCAUACAAUAGCAGACUGUCGUCAAACACCGGUGAGCCGACCUUAGUCUCCUCCUCUCGGCCUCCUCUCCUGCUGCCUGGGCCUCGAGGACUGUGCUUGUACCAGUCCCAUUCCCUAACGUGCGUCAGAGGGAUCAAUCUCCUGCUAGACUGUUGAGCAGGACCAUGUGACUAAAUACCAAAACCAGAGAUUUGUUUCAAAGUGUUUCCUCUGUGGUGUAAAGUGAUAAGGAACAUCAAGGUGCGGGAAGAGGAAGUCGUAGAACACAAAAUGCAGUGUUGUGUGUCAUACCAUUCCAGAACGCCGUGUCAUAUACUGUACAGCAAAAAAAAAGAAAAAAAAACCUUCUCUCUUUGUCUCUAUCAUACAAAUCCUCACCUCUAAUUUUUCACUACUUCUGUUUUCAUUAAACCCAGUUAUUAGAAUACUACAAGACAAUAGCGCUUUGGUCUUGCGAUGUUCGAUAACCUCUAUGUACAUCUACUUUCACAGUUAGUAAGCAUAUUGGAAAGAGAAUCGGUAGUCAAAAAGCAACAAGAAAAAAAAAUGCCGUAAAUAGAAGCCUAAUAUUUUUUGUUUUGUGUGAGCUGUACACCUGUAUAAUGUAUAUUUUAAUAUUUAUAUGCAGCUGUCGUAUUAAAGUAUAUUUUUAAAGUAAA